RNAcentral lists this ribosomal RNA (505 nucleotides) under uncultured bacterium. RNAcentral describes it as "partial 16S ribosomal RNA". It matches the Rfam family "Bacterial small subunit ribosomal RNA", at positions 28 to 507 of the family's 1533-position model. The record is from RNAcentral.
GACGAACGCUGGCGGCGUGCCUAAUACAUGCAAGUCGAACGCACAGUUUAUACCUUAGCUUGCUACACCAUACACUGUGAGUUGCGAACGGGUGAGUAACGCGUAGGUAACCUGCCUGGUAGCGGGGGAUAACUAUUGGAAACGAUAGCUAAUACCGCAUAAUAUUAAUUAUUGCAUGAUAAUUGAUUGAAAGAUGCAAUUGCAUCACUACCAGAUGGACCUGCGUUGUAUUAGCUAGUAGGUGAGGUAACGGCUCACCUAGGCGACGAUACAUAGCCGACCGGAGAGGGUGAUCGGCCACCCUGGGACUGAGACACGGCCCAGACUCCUACGGGAGGCAGCAGUAGGGAAUCUUCGGCAAGGGACGAAAGUCUGAGCGAGCAACGCCGCGUGAGGGAAGAAGGUUUUCGGAUCGUAAAGCUCGGUUGUAAGAGAAGAACGGGUGUGAGAGUGGAAAGUUCACACUGUGACGGUAUCUGACCAGAAAGGGACGGCUAACUACGUG